GUGUCAGCAGCCGCGGUAAUACGGAGGCCCCUAGCGUUGUUCGGAAUCACUGGGCUUAAAGCGCGUGUAGGCGGAACGGUAAGUGCCUUGUGAAAUCCCCCGUCUCAACCGGGUGAAUUGCUUGGCAUACUGUCGUUCUUGAGGCAGGUAGGGGUCGCUGGAACGUUAGGUGGAGCGGUGAAAUGCGUAGAUAUCUAACGGAACGCCUGUGGCGAAAGCGGGUGACUGGGCCUGUCCUGACGCUGAGACGCGAAAGCGUAGGGAGCAAACGGGAUUAGAUACCCGCGUAGUCC
This 293-nucleotide ribosomal RNA is filed under the name uncultured bacterium. RNAcentral's name for it is "partial 16S ribosomal RNA". It matches the Rfam family "Bacterial small subunit ribosomal RNA", at positions 505 to 796 of the family's 1533-position model. The record is from RNAcentral.